CCUACGGGAGGCAGCAGUGAGGAAUAUUGCUCAAUGGGAGAGAUCCUGAACCAGCCAUGCCGCGUGAAUGAAGACGGCCCUAUGGGUUGUAAACCCCUUUUGUCGGAGAACAAAACCCGGGACGUGUCCCGGACUGCGUGUAUCCGAACAAAAAGCAUCGGCCAACUCCGCUCCGGCAGCCGCGGUAAUACGGGGGAUGCGAGCGUUAUCGGGAUUUAUUGGGGUGAAAGGGUGCGAAGGCGGUGCGUUAAGUCAACGGUAAAAUUGCGGGGCUCAACCCCGACGAGCCGUUGAAACUGGCAGACUUGAGUUGGCGAGAGGUACGGAGAAUGCGCGGUGUAGCGGUGAAAUGCAUAGAUAUCGCGCAGAACUCCGAUUGCGAAGGCAGCGUACCGGAGCCAGACUGACGCUGAGGCACGAAAGCGUGGGGAUCGAACAGGAUUAGAUACCCCUGUAGUC
This 459-nucleotide ribosomal RNA is filed under the name uncultured bacterium. RNAcentral describes it as "partial 16S ribosomal RNA". It matches the Rfam family "Bacterial small subunit ribosomal RNA", at positions 338 to 795 of the family's 1533-position model. The record is from RNAcentral.